Molecule: long non-coding RNA, 1015 nt
Organism: Sciurus carolinensis (gray squirrel)
Lineage: Eukaryota; Metazoa; Chordata; Mammalia; Rodentia; Sciuridae
Exons: 3
Source: RefSeq, a predicted model, not a curated record
CUCUGAGAAGAUGCAGCAGAGUCAGCCUCUCUUGUUUUCUGCAGUUCCACCCAGGAAACCAUGCUGACCCUCCCUACUCAAGGACAUGGAGUCACAGGGAAAGGCAGGAGACAGCCAAAUACUUCAUACCUGGUUGUAUAAAUCUGGUCUACAAGUGGAGUGGGUUUUGUUACACUUGGAAAACAAAUAGGAAAGAAGUCCAGGCCACCCAACAAAACAACCCCCAGACCAACCUGGGGCCUGUAGGAGGCUCUGCAGCCAAAGCCCUCAAGAAAAGAAAUGUCCUCCUCCUAUUUUUCUGCUGGGAAACAAGUGUCCAUAACAAAUGUGUGCAGCUAUUUUCCAAAGACAAGAACUCCCAUGGAGAGGAAAGGCAGCAUGGAACACAGAGGAAGCCCCAGCCUGAGCAUCUGAGAUGAGUGGCAGCAGUCCUCACUCCUCAGGGAAAGCCAUGUCUCCACACAGCCUCAUGUGCACUGAUUUUCAAGGCGCACACAUGGGGUGCUGUACCCCUAGGCCUUCAAAGUCCUCCUUCAGCAUAACUCUGUCCCACCUCUUCUCCUCCUGCUUCAGUGGCUGCAGAGGACAGAGGGGUACGCAAAUAUGCCUCCUGUGGCACCCACAGGCUUCCCACUCUUACCUGUGUGAAAGCAUACAUAUAUAAAUACCUACACAUCCUAAAAAACAAAGUAAACUGGGGAUUGGGGUGUAGCUCAGAGGUAAAGCAUUUGCUUAGUACAACCAAGAGGCCCUGGUACCAUCAUCCCCAGCACAGCAAAAAUAAAAUAAAUAAAAUAAUAAAAUGGGAUUAUACUUUACAGAUCCAUUUUAAUCUCACAGCACAAGUCGCAGCCACAUCUCAGGUCUCUAGUGCCACACACACAAAGCAUUCUGCCAUGCAUGCACCGUACGCCAGUGUCCCCAAGUUACCAGAUGCUUGGUUGUUUCCAGUUGGCAUAGGUCUUGUUUAAAACGCACAUUUUAAAGUCAACCACAAAGUCCACAGGAGGACUAA